This 731-nucleotide ribosomal RNA is filed under the name uncultured bacterium. RNAcentral describes it as "bacterial SSU rRNA". It matches the Rfam family "Bacterial small subunit ribosomal RNA", at positions 771 to 1501 of the family's 1533-position model. The record is from RNAcentral.
AACAGGAUUAGAUACCCUGGUAGUCCACGCCGUAAACGAUGUCGACUUGGAGGUUGUGCCCUUGAGGCGUGGCUUCCGGAGCUAACGCGUUAAGUCGACCGCCUGGGGAGUACGGCCGCAAGGUUAAAACUCAAAUGAAUUGACGGGGGCCCGCACAAGCGGUGGAGCAUGUGGUUUAAUUCGAUGCAACGCGAAGAACCUUACCUGGUCUUGACAUCCAGAGAAUCCUGCAGAGAUGCGGGAGUGCCUUCGGGAACUCUGAGACAGGUGCUGCAUGGCUGUCGUCAGCUCGUGUUGUGAAAUGUUGGGUUAAGUCCCGCAACGAGCGCAACCCUUAUCCUUUGUUGCCAGCACGUAAUGGUGGGAACUCAAAGGAGACUGCCGGUGAUAAACCGGAGGAAGGUGGGGAUGACGUCAAGUCAUCAUGGCCCUUACGACCAGGGCUACACACGUGCUACAAUGGCGCAUACAAAGAGAAGCGAACUCGCGAGAGCAAGCGGACCUCAUAAAGUGCGUCGUAGUCCGGAUUGGAGUCUGCAACUCGACUCCAUGAAGUCGGAAUCGCUAGUAAUCGUGGAUCAGAAUGCCACGGUGAAUACGUUCCCGGGCCUUGUACACACCGCCCGUCACACCAUGGGAGUGGGUUGCAAAAGAAGUAGGUAGCUUAACCUUCGGGAGGGCGCUUACCACUUUGUGAUUCAUGACUGGGGUGAAGUCGUAACAAGGUAACC